GAGCUCUUUCUGAGAUGAAGAGAACUCUCAAUGUCAAGAUUUCAACAAGAAGAGAAUGGAAUACACGAUACGGACAUCCAUAAAAAUUCUUCAGAGGGUGUUUUACUACUGAGCUGCAAA
RNAcentral lists this long non-coding RNA (120 nucleotides) under Pongo abelii (Sumatran orangutan). RNAcentral describes it as "lincRNA". The record is from RNAcentral. Lineage: Eukaryota; Metazoa; Chordata; Mammalia; Primates; Hominidae.